UUCGGGACCUUAGUAAAGUGGCGCACGGGUGAGUAACACGUGGGUAACCUGCCCUUCGAUGGGGGAUAACAGUUCGAAAGGACUGCUAAUACCGCAUGCGAUCAUCGUGUCUAUGACGUGGUGAUGAAAGCGGCGCAAGUCGCGUCGGAGGAUGGGCCCGCGGACCAUUAGCUAGUUGGUGGGGUAAUGGCCUACCAAGGCUUCGAUGGUUAGCUGGUCUGAGAGGAUGAUCAGCCACACUGGAACUGAGACACGGUCCAGACUCC
This 266-nucleotide ribosomal RNA is filed under the name uncultured bacterium. RNAcentral's name for it is "partial 16S ribosomal RNA". It matches the Rfam family "Bacterial small subunit ribosomal RNA", at positions 78 to 339 of the family's 1533-position model. The record is from RNAcentral.